GUUUCUACAGGGGUGGGAGGUGAGGAGGUAAACCUAGAGGUUUCUGCAGGGGUGGAAGGUGAGGAGGUAAACCUAGAGGUUUCUGCAGGGGUGGAAGGUGAGGAGGUAAACCUAGAGGUUUCUGCAGGGGUGGAAGGUGAGGAGGUAAACCUAGAGGUUUCUACAGGGGUGGGAGGGGAUAAUAAACCUAGAGGUUUCUGCAGGGGUGGAAGGGGAGGUAAAGAAUAGUGUACACUACUGAUUCAUGUUUUAGUUUGAUUCUUAUUACUGUAAAGAAUAGUGUACACUACUGAUUCAUGUUUUAGUUUGAUUCUUAUUACUGUAAAGAAUAGUGUACACUACUGAUUCAUGUUUUAGUUUGAUUCUUAUUACUGUAAAGAUGAAAUGGGAUUUUUCUCACUCUUGCAUUUCUUCUGUAGAGCUUAAAAACAUUUCCUUUCUGUUUUUGCUAUUUUUUCUAUGACGAUCAGAUUGAGUGAUUGAUUAACCUCCCAACCCAAAGAUCCCGCCAAUUCACAUCGUGUCAGUGAUUUGAUUGGCUCCUCUCUCAAAGCUGCACGUUGUUGACGUCCCCUUCAGCCAGUCAGCAGGAAGGGGGGUUACCCCCUGUAACAGACAUCUCCUCCUCCUCUAGAUGACUCUGUAGUGAAGGAAGGGGGGGUUACCCCCUGUAACAGACAUCUCCUCCUCCUCUAGAUGACUCUGUAGUGAAGGAAGGGGGGGUUACCCCCUGUAACAGACAUCUCCUCCUCCUCUAGAUGACUCUGUAGUGAAGGAAGGGGGUUACCCCC
Long non-coding RNA from Oncorhynchus tshawytscha (Chinook salmon), 791 nucleotides. NCBI's taxonomy places the organism in Eukaryota, Metazoa, Chordata, Actinopteri, Salmoniformes, Salmonidae. The record is from Ensembl.